ACAUACUGUGCGAACGUUAUUCGGAAUCACUGGGCUUAAAGGGUGCGUAGGCGGCUUGCUAAGUAGGGUGUGAAAUCCCCCAGCUCAACUGGGGAACUGCGCUCUAAACUGGCGAGCUGGAGUGAGAUAGGGGUGCAUGGAACUUCCAGUGGAGCGGUGAAAUGUGUUGAUAUUGGAAGGAACGCCGGAGGCGAAAGCGAUGCACUGGAUCUCAACUGACGCUGAGGCACGAAAGCCAGGGGAGCGAACGGGAUUAGAUACCCCGGUAGUCCUGGCCGUAAACGAUGAAUACUAGCUGGUAGCCGCGUAGGUGGUUACCAUCGGAGCGAAAGUAUUAAGUAUUCCGCCUGGGGAGUAUGGUCGCAAGGCUG
This 371-nucleotide ribosomal RNA is filed under the name uncultured bacterium. RNAcentral's name for it is "bacterial SSU rRNA". It matches the Rfam family "Bacterial small subunit ribosomal RNA", at positions 525 to 896 of the family's 1533-position model. The record is from RNAcentral.